This 460-nucleotide ribosomal RNA is filed under the name uncultured bacterium. RNAcentral describes it as "partial 16S ribosomal RNA". It matches the Rfam family "Bacterial small subunit ribosomal RNA", at positions 338 to 795 of the family's 1533-position model. The record is from RNAcentral.
CCUACGGGUGGCAGCAGUGAGGAAUCUUGGUCAAUGGACGAGAGUCUGAACCAGCCAAGUAGCGUGAAGGAUGACUGCCCUAGGGGUUGUAAACUUCUUUUAUAAAGGAAUAAAACGAGGCACGUGUGCGUUUUUGCAUGUACUGUAUCAAUAAGGAACGGCUAACUCCGUGCCAGCAGCCGCGGUAAUACGGAGGAUGCGAGCGUUAUCCGGAUGUAUUGGGUUUAAAGGGAGCGUAGGUGGGUUGUUAAGUCAGAUGUGAAAGUUUGCGGCUCAACCGAAGAAGUGCAAUGGAUACUGGCAGUCUUGAGUGCAGUAGAGGUCGGCGGAAUUCGUGGUGUAGCGGUGAAAUGCGUAGAUAUCUCGAAGAACCCCGAUUGCGAAGGCAGCUUACUAGUCUGUGACUGACGUUGAUGCUCGAAAGUAUGGGUAUCGAACAGGAUUAGAUACCCGGGUAGUC